Gorilla gorilla gorilla (western lowland gorilla) is the source of this 712-nucleotide long non-coding RNA. RefSeq lists it as uncharacterized. Lineage: Eukaryota; Metazoa; Chordata; Mammalia; Primates; Hominidae. The transcript has 4 exons. The record is from RefSeq and is a predicted model, not a curated record.
AUCCCUGUAAUUAUUUCAUCCUGGAAUUCACAGCCAGAAAGGAGUUUGCCUGCAGACUGCAAGCUUCUUGCAGGCCAAACUUAGACUUCAUUCUUCAUAACCUUGGCACCAAGCACAGUGCACAGUAUGUGGGAAGUCAGCUGCCAUGUUUUGAGCUGCCCUCUGGAAAGACCCUCGUGGUGAGGAACUGGUGGCUCUGGCCGACAUCCAGCGAGGACCUGAGAUCUGCCAGCUGCCACAUGAGUGAGCUGGGAAGUGGAUCUUCUCCCAGCCUUGAGAUAACUGCAAUUGUGGUCAAUUUGAUCAUUGCUCUGCAGGACACUCAGAGGGGUCAGCUGAGUCACAGAUGGAUUUCUGACCCACAGAAACUGAGGCAAGAGAUAGCAGUGGAAUCCAGGAGAAGCACUCAAGGGACAUCAGCUAUACUUGUGAUUUAUUUAUUUUUAUUGAAGAAAAGAUCUGAUCCAAAAUGGAAAAGUGAUGAGACUUGUUUUAGGAGAGUUUUUGAGCAUUGAUCUACUCAUACUCUAUCUAAAUGUAUGGACCCCUGCUUUACUGCUGGUUCAUGUCCCCGGAUGUCUGCUUGUGCUGUUUCUUCUGCCUGGCAUGCUCUCCCCUGAGACUCCCACCCUUCCACUUGGACAAUCGAAUUUGACAGUUAAAGAACCAACUCAGGUAUUUCUUGAACAAACUCCAGUUGCCAGUAGAACGG